This 500-nucleotide ribosomal RNA is filed under the name uncultured bacterium. Its description in RNAcentral is "partial 16S ribosomal RNA". It matches the Rfam family "Bacterial small subunit ribosomal RNA", at positions 30 to 523 of the family's 1533-position model. The record is from RNAcentral.
AUUGAACGCUGGCGGCAUGCCUUACACAUGCAAGUCGAACGGCAGCACGGGUGCUUGCACCUGGUGGCGAGUGGCGAACGGGUGAGUGAUAUAUCGGAACGUACUUUAUUGUGGGGGAUAACGCAGCGAAAGCUGUGCUAAUACCGCAUAAUCCCUAAGGGGAAAAGCGGGGGACCGUGAGGCCUCGCGCAAUUAGAGCGGCCGAUUUCUGAUUAGCGAGUUGGUGAGGUAAAGGCUCACCAAGGCAACGUACAGUAGCUGGUCUGAGAAGACGAGCAGAACAAUGAGACUGAGACACGGCCCAGACUCCUACGGGAGGCAGCAGUGGGGCAUUUUGGACAAUGGGGGCAAACCUAAUCCAGCAAUGGCGCGUGAGGGAAGAAGGCCUUCGGGUUGUAAAGCACUUUUGUCAGGGAAGAAACAACAGCUCUACCACAGUUUGCGAAUGACGGUACCUGAAGAAUAAGCACCGGCUAACUACGUGCCAGCAGCCGCGGUAA